Molecule: ribosomal RNA, 253 nt
Filed under: uncultured bacterium
Lineage: Bacteria
Description: partial 16S ribosomal RNA
Rfam family: Bacterial small subunit ribosomal RNA
Source: RNAcentral
UACAGAGGGUGCAAGCGUUAAUCGGAAUUACUGGGCGUAAAGCGCACGUAGGCGGUUAGUUAAGUUGGAUGUGAAAGCCCCGGGCUCAACCUGGGAAUUGCAUUUGAAACUGGAAAACUAGAGUGUGUGAGAGGGGGGUAGAAUUCCAAGUGUAGCGGUGAAAUGCGUAGAGAUUUGGAGGAAUACCAGUGGCGAAGGCGGCCCCCUGGCACAACACUGACGCUCAGGUGCGAAAGCGUGGGGAGCAAACAGG